CCAGGGCAUGAGCUCAUGCUUCUUGGCACCAUAAACCUUGGCCAUACUUCAGCUUGCAGUGACCAGAUAUUUACCACAGGUCUGCAUUCACAUCUGUGCCAGCCAUACCCUGUGAGGGCAAAGGGAGAUGAUUCCAAGGCUGCAGCUCUGCCAGGAAAGACGUGGGUGGUGUGGAACCUGGCCACUGGUCUUUAAAUCCCCAGGAUCCCCACUGGGCGCCGCCUGCCCCCACUGAAGAACACUACCAAAAAUGUGUGAACUUCCAACUGCAACCACCAGAUGGCGAAAGGGAUCUCCGUACAAGACUCUGAUGGCAGUAAAACGUGUUCAAGGCUAUUUGAAAGUGAUUUAUCGAAGACCAACACGGACAAGGCUGCACAGCAGCUCCUGGUUUCUGCAAUUGGCACCUCAAAUUUUGAUCCGUCCGCUGCAGUGAACCAGUUCCCCCAGGACAGGACUUCAGAUUUAAAGAAAAACUUCAGAUCUGAAUCCUUGGAUGGAUUGUGGGACAAAUCGCAUUCUCUGAGACAUGCACAGUUCCUUGCAUUACUCCACAGGUGAGUAUUCCAACAUUGUAUGGUAUGUUCUGUGGCCUGUGUACUGUCAAAUUUAUGCACACCAAUUAAGAAGAAACACAAAAAAGGA
This is a non-coding RNA of Lepisosteus oculatus (spotted gar), 645 nucleotides long. The record is from RefSeq and is a predicted model, not a curated record. Lineage: Eukaryota; Metazoa; Chordata; Actinopteri; Semionotiformes; Lepisosteidae.